RNAcentral lists this ribosomal RNA (481 nucleotides) under Belostoma subspinosum. Its description in RNAcentral is "partial 28S ribosomal RNA". It matches the Rfam family "Eukaryotic large subunit ribosomal RNA", at positions 664 to 1141 of the family's 3401-position model. Lineage: Eukaryota; Metazoa; Arthropoda; Insecta; Hemiptera; Belostomatidae. The record is from RNAcentral.
GACCAAGGAGUCUAACAUGUGCGCGAGUCGUCGGGUCGUAACGAAACCCGUAGGCGUAAUCAAAGUGAAAGGUGGCGACACUUUCUCGCUUGCCCGAGGGAGGAUGGGAGCAGCCCCGUCUUCUCUUUUACACGCAGGGACGAGGGCCUCCCCGCACUCCCGGGGCGUUCCCGUCUCGUCACGAGUCGGAGCGCACCCAGAGCGUACACUAGCGAUUCUGACGUGCAAAUCGAUCGUCGGAGCUGGGUAUAGGGGCGAAAGACUAAUCGAACCGUCUAGUAGCUGGUUCCUUCCGAAGUUUCCCUCAGGAUAGCUGGUGCCCAGGUGAGACGAGUCUCAUCCUGUAAAGCGAAUGAUUAGAGGCAUUGGGGGUCGAAACGACCUCAACCUAUUCUCAAACUUUAAAUAGAUGAGAACUCCGGCUUGCUCGAAGGGUGAAGCCGGAGAUUCGGAUCAGGGUGCCCAGUGGGCCAAUUUUGGU